RNAcentral lists this non-coding RNA (155 nucleotides) under Gossypium hirsutum (cotton). RNAcentral describes it as "Bacterial large subunit ribosomal RNA". It matches the Rfam family "Bacterial large subunit ribosomal RNA", at positions 2474 to 2632 of the family's 2925-position model. Lineage: Eukaryota; Viridiplantae; Streptophyta; Magnoliopsida; Malvales; Malvaceae. The record is from Rfam by way of RNAcentral.
AUAACAGGCUGAUCUUCCCCAAUAGCUCACAUCGACGGGAAGGUUUGGCACCUCGAUGUCGACUCUUCGCCACCUGGGGCUGUAGUAUGUUCCAAGGGUUGGGCUGUUCGCCCAUUAAAGACCCCCGACACCCUGGUUCGUAGCCACGUGCUCUA